This 84-nucleotide unclassified non-coding RNA is filed under the name Yersinia enterocolitica (type O:5,27) str. YE149/02. Lineage: Bacteria; Pseudomonadati; Pseudomonadota; Gammaproteobacteria; Enterobacterales; Yersiniaceae. The record is from RNAcentral.
UGUGUCAUUUCUUUUUUGAUUAUAUAUUACUGGAAUGACACAGAAUUUCUAACACUCCCGCUAUUACUUUCAAAGAAACAACCU